This 411-nucleotide ribosomal RNA is filed under the name Triticum aestivum (bread wheat). Its description in RNAcentral is "partial small subunit ribosomal RNA". The record is from RNAcentral. Lineage: Eukaryota; Viridiplantae; Streptophyta; Magnoliopsida; Poales; Poaceae.
UUAGAGAGUUAGCGUUCAAAUACUUAAACCGGUGGGUUCAUCGAGGGAGGCUUCUUACAACAUGAGACGAACUUUCACGUGAACUAUCGGAAUGAUUCCUUAAAGAUCCGGCUUACUUUUUACGGGUAGUUUCAUUGGUGUACCUCCCUACAAGGUGGGUUCACCAUGUACUUCUUAGUUUACUCGUGAAUCGACGACGUGCGGAUUUCUUUUUUAGAGGAUUCUUCUUUUGAUCUUUCUCUUUCAACUUGACCUAACUGUUCGUUGUAUUCUUGUUCUUCUUUCCCCGAGGUUUCUUUCCUGUUUGACUUCAUUUCUCUCGUUUCUUUAAUGGAUUCAAAGUCGUUUCUCUUCUACCCUAACCUGGUAGUGUUAGCGUGUGGUAUCUUUUGUUACUCAUAACCUCGUUGG